UUAAUUUGAGUUUCUUUAUUUUUUUUAAAAUUUAACUUCGAGUCGAUAGUUUUACGGGAAAAAUGUCUAGAAAUCAAGAAUUAGUCGAAGGAUUUCCGACUACUAAACAGAUGGCUGCUGGGGUACUUCAGUCACCUCUGGCCUCUGUAAUUUCUAAAGAGUGGGAAGAUCGCAUUGCAACUGUAGAUGGUAGUGAAUAUGGACAGCCACGAUUAACCAAGGGUUCUGAAGAGUGGUCUGAUCCUAUUGAAAAUUUUGGGAUUAUGAAUGCUGCUCCGUACAAUUGGUGGAUUGUGAAGGAUAAACAACACCAAUUUGCUAAGCAAAUAGAAAUUUUUUACGGUAUAUACGAAAGGGAUGGGUACUGGUGUCGUAUGCCGGUUUCCGAAGACAGAAUCCAUAGACCUCCGCAGGGGUAUGUCGGUGUAUAUACGAGGCAACUAGAGUUUGGCCUGAGGUUCCCUCUCCACCCUUUUGUCAUCCAAUUGCUAAAUGGAUAUAACAUCUCAUUGUGCCAACUUACUCCGGACAGUAUCCGAAGGAUAAUGACAUUCUUAUGGGUUGCCCUUUUUUAUGGGUUCAAACCUAGCAUUCACGUAUUUAGGAAGUUGCACGAUUUGUUGCCGGUUAAUCAACUUGAUAAUCUACACGGUUCAGGAUGGUGGCAGAUUGAACCCCGAAAAUGGUUCAUGACGUCUUGGCCCAAUGACUCCUGAUGAAAAUUGGAGGGGUCAAUGGAUUUGGGUGAGGGCUCCGCCUGAAGAAGAACAUAUGAACUACUAUGGGGCGCCGAGAAAUCUGAGAAAGCCUGAUAACGGCAUGUGUGCUGCCGGACUUGAUGAAAUGUUGGCUGUUGAUAUGCAGCUACUGAAAUUGAUUGGGAGGAAAGUUACAGCAAGACGAGGUCGAGAACAAGAAUUUCCAGCAACAUGGUUACCUUGUAAUCACUAUAUCUUCCAAGAGCAUAUUUUAGCCGCAGUCGGCCUCAGCCGAAAAUUCCAAAUGGUACUACACGAAGCCAACUGUGGUUUGGACUACAAACGAUUGGGGAUAGGUGUUGAACGACGUGUGACGAGGAGUGCACCACCAGUCACUCCUGUAUCCAAAAGGGCCCUUUCGCUGUGUGUUUCUAGGUUGGACAUAGUCGAACCUGAGGAAUAUUAGAGACAUAAACCUUGGUAUCUAAAACGAGAUCCAUAUUUUCGUUUGGGUCCCGAAGAGGUAAUUGUUGCUGCUGAUGCUGCAUGUGUUGCUGGUGUUGUCGUGAGAACCGAGAAUUUAACAGAAAUUUCUGGAGCGAAUAAGGCUAUAGUUUCAGAAGGAAACGAGUUGUCUACAACUCUGAUUGAUGACAUGGCUAGAAAAAGAACAAGUCGAGCUGUCAUUAGACCAGGACAAUUUCCUCUAGAGGAGUCGUCUCCUUCUCCUAAGAGGGUUCGGUUGAAUGAGGGUUCAUCUGAGGUGGGGAUUAAGGAGACUCCAGCCUCCUUCCUUGCUCUGAACCGAGAGACGCCAGUUCCUAUUCCGGUCUAUAGUCGAGAAGAGGAGGUUCAGCAGGAAUUGGUACCUGUGUAUUUUGAUCUGUCCCAGCAUACGUCGGGGCAUUUUGCAAAUGAUAUUCAAAGAGAAACUGAUGCUUUAAUCUCAUGUGAUGUGAACGAUGGUGGGGAGAAUUUUAACAGGGAUUCGGAUUGUCUGAAGGAGGGUUAAAGGUGUGUUGAAGUGCCUCCCCAGGAAGAUGUUCCGUCCGUUUCGGGAGUAGAAUCAAUCAGAACAUUUCGCUCCAAUGAGAUGGGAUUUGAUUAUGCACCCCUUGUGGAUGUUCGUUCUUGGUGCUGUCAGGGACAUGUUUUUAAAGAGCCGACAAUCGGCUAUUGAUUUUUUUGGAAACUUAACGGGUCUAUUAGAACUAGUACGGGCCAAAAUUUGGUCAACUCGGGCUGCUGCUAGAGCGGCCGAACCGUUUGAUAAAGUGCUGGAUCCUAUUGCCGAAAUUUACAGAUUACUGAUGCUGUUCAUAACCAUGUACUUACUGCUUGUUUGAACGAGGAGUUAAAGGAAAAGCUUAAGACCUCCGAGCAUCGGGCUGAAAUGACGGAAUUGAAGAAAAAAACUGCUGAGGCUUCUCUUUUGGAGAGCUAAUCUGAGCUAAAUCAAACAAAAGAAACUCUGCGUAACUUCUGUCAAGCACUUGAGCAAUUCUUCUUCCCUCAAAUAGAGCAAGGUGAACAGCUGAUGCGUUUCUACGGAGCUAAUAAUGUUGCAGAAUUAAAAGCUCGGAUACAGGAUAGAUUUCAACAAGAGAUGUCGGUUAGAGAGCAAGUUGCUAAAGAAUUGAAUGACAAGAUUGAACUGGUUAAAAAAGAGGCUGAUAAAAAGGAGUCUGAUUUGAAAACGGAAAUUAAGCGCCUCAAUGAUUUGAUCUCAACUAAAGAUCAAAACCUGUUGGAUGCCAAAAAAAAGCUUACGGCUGAAAAGGACUCUGUUGCCAAAAGAUAGGGCUGAUUUGGUUGAUGCAAGACAGCAGCUGAAAACGCGCAUUUACACCCGAGAGCAAUAUGAUGAGGGUUAUGAAAAUGGAUUCAAGAUUGCUCGUCGCCUUGCAAUUCAUCUUGAGCCAAAUAUUAAUUGGGACGAGGCUGAAAAAUGGUCUAUGGACAUUGAUCACCCAAAAAUGCGGCAUCCACACCCCAACGAGGUUGCUUUACUUCAUCGGUUGGCUAAUCAGGAAGCGUUGGAAGAAGAUACCGAUGGUGAAGAGGAGGAUGAACCACAGGGUGACAAGAUUGCCAAAUCUGCAUCAUCCGUUGCUGCUAACAUUACGGCUGUUCCUGACACUGACGCAGUGAACGCUGGAGCAUAGGAAUUCGGGCAGUCGUCCGCGGAAUCUUGCGGAUCUACAUGUUCGUGAAAGCUGAAUAUUCGCUUCUACUCUUUUGCCUUUUUGUUUCAGCUGGCCAUAUGUGCAUAAAACUCUUAUUAGUUUCUGUUUGAGAAAGUGCUUGGUUCGGCGGCUGUAUCUUCCGCUUGUGGGCGGCUGCCGAUUAGUGACUUCUUUUCUUUUCUUUUUUUCCAGAAUGUUAUUUAUGCUACAUGGAAUCAUCCUUAGUGCCAAAUUUUAGCUCGGUGAUUCAGAUUACGAAUGCUUUUUUCUUACUGUCUUUUCCAAUCAUUUUUUGUUUAUUAUUUUAGUUUAAAAAUUAAAAUAUGAAAUCAUUCUCUUCGUAUGUUAUUAGUUCUUAGUUUUUGAUAUUAUGAAGUAAAAACAAUUUCGGUUGAACAUCUAACUACCUGGUUUAGGAUUUAUUUUAACUUGAAUAUUUGCACUCAAAUGUU
Molecule: long non-coding RNA, 3336 nt
Organism: Chenopodium quinoa (quinoa)
Lineage: Eukaryota; Viridiplantae; Streptophyta; Magnoliopsida; Caryophyllales; Amaranthaceae
Exons: 4
Source: RefSeq, a predicted model, not a curated record